This 30-nucleotide non-coding RNA is filed under the name Mus musculus (house mouse). Lineage: Eukaryota; Metazoa; Chordata; Mammalia; Rodentia; Muridae. The record is from RNAcentral.
UACCAACUGCAAAAACUCGGUAAGGUCUGC